Molecule: transfer RNA, 66 nt
Filed under: Podarcis lilfordi (Lilford's wall lizard)
Lineage: Eukaryota; Metazoa; Chordata; Lepidosauria; Squamata; Lacertidae
Description: tRNA.Ala
Source: RNAcentral
AAGGCUCAGUGGUAGACCAUCUGCUUUGCAUACAGAAGGUUCCAAGUUCAACCCUUGGCAUCUCUA